AAACUGCGAAUGGCUCAUUAAAUCAGUUAUCGUUUAUUUGAUAGUACCUCACUACAUGGAUAACCGUGGUAAUUCUAGAGCUAAUACAUGCUAAAAGCCCCGACUCCGGAAGGGGUGUAUUUAUUAGAUAAAAAACCAAUGCCCUUCGGGGCUGCGUGGUGAAUCAUAAUAACUUCACGAAUCGCAUGGCCUUGCGCCGGCGAUGGUUCAUUCAAAUUUCUGCCCUAUCAACUUUCGAUGGUAGGAUAGUGGCCUACCAUGGUUUCAACGGGUAACGGGGAAUUAGGGUUCGACUCCGGAGAGGGAGCCUGAGAAACGGCUACCACAUCCAAGGAAGGCAGCAGGCGCGCAAAUUACCCAAUGCCGACACGGCGAGGUAGUGACAAUAAAUACUGAUCCAGGGCUCUUUCGGGUCUUGGAAUUGGAAUGAGUACAAUUUAAAUCCCUUAACGAGGAACAACUGGAGGGCAAGUCUGGUGCCAGCAGCCGCGGUAAUUCCAGCUCCAGUAGCGUAUAUUAAAGUUGUUGCAGUUAAAAAGCUCGUAGUUGAACCUUGGGCCUGGCUGGCCGGUCCGCCUCACCGCGUGUACUGGUCCGGCCGGGCCUUUCCUUCUGGGGAGCCGCAUGGCCUUCACUGGCCGUGCCGGGGAACCAGGACUUUUACUUUGAAAAAAUUAGAGUGUUCAAAGCAGGCCUUUGCUCGGAUACAUUAGCAUGGAAUAAUUGAAUAGGACGUGCGGUUCUAUUUUGUUGGUUUCUAGGACCGCCGUAAUGAUUAAUAGGGAUAGUCGGGGGCAUCUGUAUUCAAUUGUCAGAGGUGAAAUUCUUGGAUUUAUUGAAGACAAACUACUGCGAAAGCAUUUGCCAAGGAUGUUUUCAUUAAUCAGGAACGAAAGUUAGGGGAUCGAAGACGAUCAGAUACCGUCGUAGUCUUAACCAUAAACUAUGCCGACUAGGGAUCGGUGGAUGUUACUAUUUUGACUCCAUCGGCACCUUACGAGAAAUCAAAGUUUUUGGGUU
This 1020-nucleotide ribosomal RNA is filed under the name Capnodiales sp. CBS 118294. RNAcentral describes it as "SSU rRNA". It matches the Rfam family "Eukaryotic small subunit ribosomal RNA", at positions 84 to 1113 of the family's 1831-position model. Lineage: Eukaryota; Fungi; Ascomycota; Dothideomycetes; Capnodiales. The record is from RNAcentral.